AUGGCAAAGGGCAGNUACCUGGCGACAGGAUGCUAAUCUCCAAACCAUGUCUCAGUUCGGAUCGGAGUCUGCAACUCGACUCCGUGAAGCUGGAUUCGCUAGUAAUCGCGCAUCAGCCAUGGCGCGGUGAAUACGUUCCCGGGCCUUGUACACACCGCCCGUCAAGCCAUGGGAGCCGGGGGUACCUGAAGUCCGUAACCGCAAGGAUCGGCCUAGGGUAAAACUGGUGACUGGGGCUAAGUCGUAACAAGGUAUC
This 256-nucleotide ribosomal RNA is filed under the name uncultured bacterium. RNAcentral describes it as "partial 16S ribosomal RNA". It matches the Rfam family "Bacterial small subunit ribosomal RNA", at positions 1235 to 1500 of the family's 1533-position model. The record is from RNAcentral.